GAGGGUGUAGCUCAGUGGUAGAGUGCAUGCCUAGCAUGCACGAGGUCCUGGGUUCAAUCCCAGGUACCUCA
Molecule: transfer RNA, 71 nt
Filed under: Camelus bactrianus (Bactrian camel)
Lineage: Eukaryota; Metazoa; Chordata; Mammalia; Artiodactyla; Camelidae
Also listed under: 2 other names
Rfam family: tRNA
About the family: Transfer RNA (tRNA) molecules are approximately 80 nucleotides in length. Their secondary structure includes four short double-helical elements and three loops (D, anti-codon, and T loops).
Source: Rfam by way of RNAcentral